AUUGUAUAUGUUUCAUUUCUUUCACUUAUUAACGGCAAAACAGACAUAAUUAACGCUGAAAUAUUUGUUUUCUCCUACUUCUUUCGAUUCUUUUACGCCGAUUAACAAAAAUAGAUAGAAGUAUUUAAAAAAUCGCAAAAAAGAGGUGUAACACAAGGACUUCCCAGGAGGUCACCCAUCCUAGUACUACUCUCGCCCAAGCACACUUAAUUGCGGAGUUCUGAUGGGAUCUGGUGCAUUAGUGCUGGUAUGAUCGCACCUGAUAUCGAAUGCGCUUUAAUUGUAUAUAUUUUAUUUCUUUCACUUAUUAACGGCAAAACACACAAAGCGGUGCAACACAAGGACUUCCCAGGAGGUCACCCAUCCUAGUACUACUCUGGCCCAAGCACGCUUAACUGCGGAGUUCUGAUGGGAUCCGGGGCAUUAGUGCUGGUAUGAUCGCACCUGAUAUCGAAUGCGCUUUAAUUGUAUAUAUUUUAUUUCUUUCACUUAUUAACGGCAAAACAGAAAGAUGUGUUUCAUCGUCAAAAAAGGGAGAGUUUGGAUCUAUAUACUUGUAGGUAUAUAGCUUGAAAAUCCUGUAGAAGACCAUUAUGAUGUUUGGAUGACGACAACGAUAAUUAAAGUGGUGCGUAAUAACUUCACCUUGAUGAUGUUUGAUCUAACCAGAGAAACAUUCCAUGCCUCAUCAACAAAAAGAGACUCAGAUCAAAAGUGUUAUAUGGUAAGAGUAAUCCACAAGAAUCUUGAUGUCUGAGUGUGAAAUCUCUCUGGUUAGUGUAUGUCUGUAUGUCUCGAGUGACCGAGUUUUGUCAAGUAAGCAAUAACUCUUUAGUACUAGAAAUUCAGACCGUACCUUAACAAAUAUUUUUCAAAGUUUUUAUCUUGAAAUAUUUUCAGCAAAACAAAGUGAUGUAAGAAGCGGUCGCAAUCUCUUUCCACAACUAUUUUUUUGACUACAAAUCGAUUGGAUACUUAAGCCAUCUGUUGGCAAAACAUUUUCGUAAGUCGUCAGUUAAUGAAUUGAAUUAAGCAUCGAUUGGAGACGGUCAGCGAAUUGAACUCCAAACGAUCUACACCUAUGCGUAAAUCUACUUUUGGUUGGGAUACGCCUGUAAAAUACUCAGAUCAGUUUGUUCUAAUGGUUAAGGGCAUUAACCUGUCAAAUUGAUCAAAAGUUUAUAGUCCAAAGUCUUAAAGACCUAUGGGACAUACUAAACCAACAUUUGGCCAAAACUUGAAUAACUCUCGAGUGUCAUCUCUCUAAACUAUACUCUAUUUAUUUAUUUUCUAUUUCAUACAUUUGUUUCCGUUGCCAUUACUCUUAAAAGUAUCUUAACCGAUUUUAAUCGAGAAUAGAGUAUAAAAAAUAUCAUAAUUUUACAUACCACAGAUUCCAUUCCCUAUUAUUAUUCGAAAGAUCAAUUGUUGAUGCUUAUUAUUUUACAACUAUAUCAACAUACAUCACAAGGAUAAAAAAUCUAUAAAGUGUUACGAAUAAUCUAUAAAGUGAAUUAACACCAUCCUUGUAACCUUGUCGUUCAUCACACAAUCUUUUUUAUCAUGUUCUGUGGUUUACUAAAAAAUCAAGUAUAAGUGUAAGACUAUAAGUAUUUCAGUACUCUAAGCGAAUUAUAAGUAACGGCUCGAAUCUUAAAAAUAAAAAAUAUUUAUAUGCAUUUCACUGUCGUUGAGAAUAAAUAAUAUAUAAGCUGAUGAAAAACUUUAAUAUAUCAAAUUCAAGCAAAGGUUAUAACAAAAUAUAAGCCAAACAUUUUCACUAAUAAGUAAACAUGAGAAAACAUAUAAUAUAUUAUAUUAUAAUAUAUCCAUAUACUUAUAUAAUAUACUAUAUAUUAUAUCUAUGAUAUAUAUAUACUUUAUAUAUAUAUCAUAUAUAUAUAUAUAUCCAUCAGGUUUGCUUCGUGAUAUAUCCUCAUGUUUGCUCGCUGUGUUUGGUUAGGCUUGUGUUUUUGUUAUGCGAGGAAAAACACCAGAAGAUUAGUUACUUUUGUCUGAAUUAUUGGAAGAGCACUCUAAAGAAACAACGAGUAAUAACAAAAAUGAAAGUCAAUACCAAGCAAAGAGAAUCAACAGAAGGAAUCUUCUAAUUCCUAUUUUUAACAAUCUCCUAAACAUAAUAAAGUCCAUGGGCUGAAAGGACGAUAACAACACAACUUAUCAACAACACACAUGAAUGACAAUUACAUUCUCAUCAACACAACAAUAACACUGCGUUUGUGGAAUUCUAGGUCACACACACCUACAGAGCGGCUAUCCCUACUUGUCAGUAUCUCUAAUCAUACCAGACAAAUAGAGAUGAAGAUUGGAUUUACUUCAAAUCAUCUAUACAUAUCCUUUUGCUGGACUUGACAACAACAUCCAUAUACUCAUCUACCAAGUUCUAUGAGUUUUCAAGUACAACUCAGAGAAUCUCAAGCAGAAGAAGAAGCUAUGCUUAGAGAUUAUUUCCUAUUCCCCAAUCGAAAAGCAAAUUGGGAUCUAGACCAACCGUUUAGGUUAUGACCAACUUGAACACACUGAGGAGUAUUUUUUUAACAGGUUCUUUCAACAUAAUAAAUUUAUGGAAGCCAAGACCAUUAUUUCCGUAUUUUCUCAAUGUGUGAAUGAAACACUUUGUGAGCAUGGGAGAGUUACAAGUUUAUGUUGCUAAAUUGUCCUAACCAUGGGUUUGAUGACCUCACUCAUAUUCUAUUUUUUCGCAAUGAACUUCAACCACAACAAAACUUUCUUUAGAUGCAACUGCCAAGCGAUUCUCUAAUGUUAAGGUGCAGAAGAUGCAAUAGCUAUCAUCAAACAAAUGGCACUUUGUGACCAUCGAGAGUCAGUAUACUAGAGGUCUCUAAAUAGAAAAGUUGGAACAUAUAAUUUGGGGCAAACAACACAAUCUUGGCUCAGCAAUAAAUUGCUUACUCAAAUAGUGGAAGAAAUAAUAAAGCAAUUGUCCAGAUUCCAUAUAACUCAAAAAUGCAUGAAUAUAUGAUUACAAUAAUAUGUUUAUUUUGUGAGCUUUCCAGUGGAGACCUACCCAUAGGUUUUUAUCCCCCGUCGAAUGAAGAGUGAAUUACUUGGGAAAUCAGCAAAGACAAGGGAAUACCAAGGCAAAACUGGUUUUUAAAGACAAAAUUGUUGAAUUAUGGUCAGGGGAGGCAUGCAAGUCGCAGAACCAUCCAAUAGAUAAAACUUGUAUCAUAAUUAAAACUAGAAUUCCUCAACGAGACUGAACUUCAAUGGUGGAGGACACUCUGAAUCAGUUUAUGCAAUUGUCUAUCGCGAAGUCAAAGAACACUGAUGCAUCCAUUAAGAAUCUUAAAACUCAAGUUAGUCAACUAGAUAAUAAAUUGGUGGAUCAACAAGGAGGAUUUCACUGCUAAGCUCAGCCAAUCCGAAGGAACAUUGCAAAUCAAUUACAACUCGGAUUAUAGAAUGGUGACAAGGGCAUUUGAUAAUCUAGAAACUAAAGAGUUGUUGUUAAGAUGAAGAAGAACAAGAGGGAGAAAAGAGAGAGAGUGUGAAGGAAGUAAAGGAAAAUAUAAGGAAUAAUUAGUUGAAAAUGAAAUAAUAAUGAAAAGACAGAGUGAGAAAAAAGUGAACGAGGCGAAAAACAAAAAAUCAAAGAGCUAGAGAAGUGAAAGAAAAUAUGAAGAAUCUGCCAGUGCAACAUUAUUUUUGCAUGCUCCUACCAGAAAGACAGUGAGAGACAAUAUGCUAGGUUUUCUGGAUAUACUUCAAGAAUUACCGAUAAAUACUCCAUUGUUGAAGCCCUCGAACAGAUGCCGACAUAAUGCCAAAUUCAUGAAAGAGAUCUCACAAAGACACACACUGAUAUCUAAUGCGCUUAAAUUGGUAUAUGUUUCAUUUCUUUCACUUAUUAACGCAAAACAGACAUAAAUUAACGCUGAAAUUUGUUUCUCCUACUUCUUUCGAUUCUUUACGCCGAUUAACAAAAAUGCAUAGAAGUAUUUAAAAAAUCGCAAAAAAGAGGUGUAACACAAGGAUUCCCAGGAGUCACCCAUCCAGUACUACUUCUCGCCAAGCAACUUAAUUGCGGAGUUCUGAUGGAUCUGGUGCAUUAGUGCUGGUAUGAUCGCACCUGAUAUCGAUGCGUUUAAUUGUAUAUAUUUUAUUUCUUUCACUUAUUACGGCAAAACACACAAAGCGGUGCAACACAAGGACUUCCCAGGAGGUCACCCAUCCUAGUACUACUCUGGCCCAGCACGCUUAACUGCGGAUUCUGAUGGAUCCGGGCAUUAGUGCUGGUAUGAUCGCACCUGAUAUCGAAUGCGCUUUAAUUGUAUAUAUAUUUCUUCUCUCUUAUUAACAAGGCAAAACAGACAUAAAUUAACCUGAAAUUGUUUUCUCCUACUCUUUCGAUUCUUUUACGCCGAUUACAAAAAUAAAUAGAAGUAUUAAAAAUCGCAAAAAAGAAGGUGCAACACAAGGACUUCCCAAAGGUCCCACCUAGUACUACUCUCGCCCAAGCCACGCUUAACUGCGUAGUUCUGAUGGGAUCCGGUGCAUUAGUGCUGGUGAUCGCACCUUAUCGAUAUGCAGCUUGAAGUGUAUAUAUUUAUUUCUUUCACUUAUUAACGGCAAAACAACAUAAUUAACGCCUGAAUAUUUGUUUUCUCUAUUCUUUCGUAUCUUUUACUGCCGAUUCAUUAACAAAAUAAAAGAAGUUUUAAAAACUCGCAAAAAGAAGUGCAACACAAGGAUCCCAGAGGUCACCAUCCUAGUACUACUCUCGCCCAAGCACGCUUAACUGCGGAGUUUGAAGGAUCCGGUGCAUUAGUGCUGGUAUGACCACCUUCGAAUUCGUCUGGCUUUGAUUGUAAAAUUUGUUAUCUUGCUUUUCACUGAUUAACGGCAAAACAACAUAUUAACGCUGAAAUAUUUAUUUUCUCCUACUUCUUGUCAUCUUUUACGCGAUUACAAAAAUAGUAUAGAGAUUUAAAAAGCGCAAAAAGGGUGCCAACACAGAGGACUUCAGGGCACCCAUCUAGUACUACUCUCGCCAAGACACUUAACGACGGAUUGUCUCUGGAUCCGGUGCUUAGUCGUGGUUGAUCGCACCUGAAUAUUAAAUGCGCUUUAUUGUUAUAUUUUAUUUCUUUCACUUAUUUAACCGGCAAAACACAAUUACGCUUGAAAAUAUUUGUUUUCUCCUCUUCUUUCGAUUCUUUUACGCCGUAUUAAAACAAAAUAAUACAAGUAUUAAAAAAUCGCAAAAAAGAGGUGCAACAGGACUUCCAGCGAGGUCACACCUAGUACUACUGCGCCCAAGGAGCUUACUGCCGGAGUUCUGAUGGAAUCCAGGCAUUAGGUGCUGGUAUGAUUCACACUGUAUCGAAUGCGUUUAAUAUUAUAUUUUAUUUCUUUUCACUUAUUAACGCAAAAGACAAAUUAACGCUUGAAUAGUUAUUUUCACUAACUUCUUUCGAUUCUUUUACGCCGAUUAACAAAAAGAAUAAAGAUCUUAAAAUACGCCAAAAAAGAGCGUGCAACACAAAACUUCCAGAAGGUCCACCCAUCCUAGUCACUCUCGCCAAGCACGCUUAACGCGGAGUUUGAUGGGUGCGCGGUGCAAUUAGUGCUGGUGAGAUCGCACCUGUAUGCAGAUGCGCUUUAAACAAUUGUAUAUUAUCUUAUUUCUUUUCACUAUUAACGGCAAACAGACAAUUAACGUGAAAUAUUUGUUUCUCUCCUACUUCUUUCGAUUCUUUUACGCCGAUAACAAAAAUAAAUNUUCACUUAUUAACGGCAGAACAAACAGACAUAAUUUAACGCUGAAAAUUUGUUUUCUCCUACUUCUUUCGAUUCUUUACGCCGAUUAACAAAAAUAAGAUAGAAGUAUUAAAAAUCGCAAAAAAGAGGUAACACAAGGACUUCCCAGGAGGUCACCCCAUCCUAGUACUAAGAAGUAUUUAAAAAAUCGCAAAAAAGAGGUGCAACACAAGGACUUCCCAGUAGGUCACCCAUCCUAGUACUACUCUCGCCAAAGCACGCUUAACUGCGGAGUUCUGAAAGGAUCCGGUGCAUUAGUGCUGGUAUGAUCACACCUGAUAUCGAAUGCGCUUUAAUUGUAUAUAUUUUAUUUCUUUCACUUAUUAACGGCAAAACAAACAUAAUUAACGCUGAAAUAUUUAUUUUCUCCUACUUCUUUCGAUUCUUUUACGCCGAUUAACAAAAAUAGAUAGAAGUAUUUAAAAAAUCGCAAAAAAGAGGUGCAACACAAGGACUUCCCAGGAGGUCACCCAUCCUAGUACUACUCUCGCCCAAGCACACUUAACUACGGAGUUCUAAUGGGAUCCGGUGCAUUAGUGCUGGUAUGAUCGCACCUGAUAUUAAAUGCGCUUUAAUUGUAUAUAUUUUAUUUCUUUCACUUAUUAACGGCAAAACAAACAUAAUUAACGCUGAAAUAUUUGUUUUCUCCUACUUCUUUCGAUUCUUUUACGCCGAUUAACAAAAAUAGAUACAAGUAUUUAAAAAAUCCCAAAAAAAGAGGUGCAACACAAGGACUUCCCAGGAGGUCACCCAUCCUAGUACUACUCUCGCCCAAGCACGCUUAACUGCGGAGUUCUGAUGGGAUCCGGUGCAUUAGUGCUGGUAUGAUCGCACCUGAUAUCGAAUGCGCUUUAAUUGUAUAUAUUUUAUUUCUUUCACUUAUUAACGGCAAAACAGACAUAAUUAACGCUGAAAUAUUUGUUUUCUCCUACUUCUUUCCAUUCUUUUACGCCGAUUAACAAAAAUAGAUACAAGUAUUUAAAAAAUCCCAAAAAAAGAGGUGCAACACAAGGACUUCCCAGGAGGUCACCCAUCCUAGUACUACUCUCGCCCAAGCACGCUUAACUGCGGAGUUCUGAUGGGAUCCGGUGCAUUAGUGCUGGUAUGAUCGCACCUGAUAUCGAAUGCGCUUUAAUUGUAUAUAUUUUAUUUCUUUCACUUAUUAACGGCAAAACAGACAUAAUUAACGCUGAAAUAUUUGUUUUCUCCUACUUCUUUCCAUUCUUUUACGCCGAUUAACAAAAAUAGAUACAAGUAUUUAAAAAAUCCCAAAAAAAGAGGUGCAACACAAGGACUUCCCAGGAGGUCACCCAUCCUAGUACUACUCUCGCCCAAGCACGCUUAACUGCGGAGUUCUGAUGGGAUCCGGUGCAUUAGUGCUGGUAUGAUCGCACCUGAUAUCGAAUGCGCUUUAAUUGUAUAUAUUUUAUUUCUUUCACUUAUUAACGGCAAAACAGACAUAAUUAACGCUGAAAUAUUUGUUUUCUCCUACUUCUUUCCAUUCUUUUACGCCGAUUAACAAAAAUAGAUACAAGUAUUUAAAAAAUCCCAAAAAAAGAGGUGCAACACAAGGACUUCCCAGGAGGUCACCCAUCCUAGUACUACUCUCGCCCAAGCACGCUUAACUGCGGAGUUCUGAUGGGAUCCGGUGCAUUAGUGCUGGUAUGAUCGCACCUGAUAUCGAAUGCGCUUUAAUUGUAUAUAUUUUAUUUCUUUCACUUAUUAACGGCAAAACAGACAUAAUUAACGCUGAAAUAUUUGUUUUCUCCUACUUCUUUCCAUUCUUUUACGCCGAUUAACAAAAAUAGAUACAAGUAUUUAAAAAAUCCCAAAAAAAGAGGUGCAACACAAGGACUUCCCAGGAGGUCACCCAUCCUAGUACUACUCUCGCCCAAGCACGCUUAACUGCGGAGUUCUGAUGGGAUCCGGUGCAUUAGUGCUGGUAUGAUCACACCUGAUAUCGAAUGCGCUUUAAUAGUAUAUAUUUUAUUUCUUUCACUUAUUAACGGCAAAACAGACAUAAUUAACGCUGAAAUAUUUAUUUUCUACUACUUCUUUCGAUUCUUUUACGCCGAUUAACAAAAAUAGAUACAAGUAUUUAAAAAAAUCGCAAAAAAGAGGUACAACACAAGGACUUCCCAGGAGGUCACCCAUCCUAGUACUACUCUCGCCCAAGCACGCUUAACUGCGGAGUUUUGAUGGGAUCCGGUGCAUAAGUGCUGGUAUGAUCGCACCUGAUAUCGAAUGCGCUUUAAUUGUAUAUAUUUUAUUUCUUUCACUUAUUAACGGCAAAACAGACAUAACUAACGCUGAAAUAUUUAUUUUCUCUUACUUCUUUCGAUUCUUUUACGCCGAUUAACAAAAAUAGAUACAAGUAUUUAAAAAAUCGCAAAAAAGAGGUGCAACACAAGGACUUCCCAGGAGGUCACCCAUCCUAGUACUACUCUCGCCCA
RNAcentral lists this long non-coding RNA (8258 nucleotides) under Lathyrus oleraceus (garden pea). RNAcentral describes it as "Pisum sativum (pea) long non-coding RNA (PSAT_LNC012499)". The record is from RNAcentral. Lineage: Eukaryota; Viridiplantae; Streptophyta; Magnoliopsida; Fabales; Fabaceae.